Molecule: long non-coding RNA, 291 nt
Filed under: Elaeis guineensis (African oil palm)
Lineage: Eukaryota; Viridiplantae; Streptophyta; Magnoliopsida; Arecales; Arecaceae
Description: long non-coding RNA (EGUI_LNC048839)
Source: RNAcentral
GUGGCUCCAUCACCCCCUGGCAGACCGCAAUAAUGGCCACGAUCCUGCUCCACUUCCUGUGACGGAUACCACGUGAUUCCUCCAUCCUCUGGCAAGUCAUGACAACGGAUGCCGCUCCACCCCCUGCGACAGACUCCACGUGGCACAUCCCGGUGAUAGCCACGAUUCCACUCCACUACCGGAUGCCGCUCCACCCCCUGCGACAGACUCCACGUGGCACGUCCCGGUGAUAGCCACGAUUCCACUCCACUACCCUUCGCAACAAACUCCUCCUGACCGUGGGCAGCCUAC